Molecule: ribosomal RNA, 529 nt
Filed under: Pseudomonas sp. 2So4
Lineage: Bacteria; Pseudomonadati; Pseudomonadota; Gammaproteobacteria; Pseudomonadales; Pseudomonadaceae
Description: bacterial SSU rRNA
Rfam family: Bacterial small subunit ribosomal RNA
Source: RNAcentral
GGCGCACGGUAGAGUAAUGCCUAGGAAUCUGCCUGGUAGUGGGGGACAAUGUUCGGAAACGGACGCUAAUACCGCAUACGUCCUACGGGAGAAAGCAGGGGACCUUCGGGCCUUGCGCUAUCAGAUGAGCCUAGGUCGGAUUAGCUAGUUGGUGAGGUAAUGGCUCACCAAGGCGACGAUCCGUAACUGGUCUGAGAGGAUGAUCAGUCACACUGGAACUGAGACACGGUCCAGACUCCUACGGGAGGCAGCAGUGGGGAAUAUUGGACAAUGGGCGAAAGCCUGAUCCAGCCAUGCCGCGUGUGUGAAGAAGGUCUUCGAAUUGUAAAGCACUUUAAGUUGGGAGGAAGGGCAGUUACCUAAUACGUAUCUGUUUUGACGUUACCGACAGAAUAAGCACCGGCUAACUCUGUGCCAGCAGCCGCGGCAAUACAGAGGGUGCAAGCGUUAAUCGGACUUACUGGGCGUAAAGCGCGCGUAGGUGGUUCGUUAAGCUGGAUGUGAAAUCCCCGGGCUCAACCUGGGAACU